This 472-nucleotide ribosomal RNA is filed under the name uncultured bacterium. RNAcentral's name for it is "partial 16S ribosomal RNA". It matches the Rfam family "Bacterial small subunit ribosomal RNA", at positions 28 to 507 of the family's 1533-position model. The record is from RNAcentral.
GACGAACGCUGGCGGCGUGCUUAACACAUGCAAGUCGAACGCUGAAGCUUGGUGCUUGCACUGGGUGGAUGAGUGGCGAACGGGUGAGUAAUACGUGAGUAACCUGCCCUUGACUCUGGGAUAAGCCUGGGAAACUGGGUCUAAUACUGGAUACGACAUGCCACUGCAUGGUGGUGUGUGGAAAGGGUUUUACUGGUUUUGGAUGGGCUCACGGCCUAUCAGCUUGUUGGUGGGGUAAUGGCCUACCAAGGCGACGACGGGUAGCCGGCCUGAGAGGGUGACCGGCCACACUGUGACUGAGACACGGCCCAGACUCCUACGGGAGGCAGCAGUGGGGAAUAUUGCACAAUGGGCGGAAGCCUGAUGCAGCGACGCCGCGUGAGGGAUGACGGCCUUCGGGUUGUAAACCUCUUUCAGCACGGAAGAAGCGAGAGUGACGGUACGUGCAGAAGAAGCGCCGGCUAACUACGUG